Molecule: ribosomal RNA, 236 nt
Filed under: uncultured Candidatus Saccharibacteria bacterium
Lineage: Bacteria; Candidatus Saccharimonadota
Description: partial 16S ribosomal RNA
Rfam family: Bacterial small subunit ribosomal RNA
Source: RNAcentral
UAAGUGAAUAGUGAAAUCUGGCGGCUCAACCGUACAGGCUAUUAUCCAAACUGCUGAGCUCGAGAAUGGUAGAGGUAGCUGGAAUUUCGUGUGUAGGAGUGAAAUCCGUAGAUAUACGGAGGAACACCAAUGGCGUAGGCAGGCUACUGGACCAUUUCUGACGCUAAGGCACGAAAGCGUGGGGAGCGAACCGGAUUAGAUACCCGGGUAGUCCACGCCGUAAACGAUGGAUGCUA